Molecule: ribosomal RNA, 572 nt
Filed under: Triodiomyces aff. triodiae EXF-6431
Lineage: Eukaryota; Fungi; Basidiomycota; Ustilaginomycetes; Ustilaginales; Ustilaginaceae
Description: eukaryotic LSU rRNA
Rfam family: Eukaryotic large subunit ribosomal RNA
Source: RNAcentral
AAGAGCCCAAGAUUGAAAGCUGGCGUCUUCGGCGUCCGCAUUGUAAUCUCAAGAAGUGUUUUCCGCUUCGGACCAUGCCUAAGUCCCUUGGAAAAGGGCAUCAUAGAGGGUGAUAAUCCCGUACAUGGCAUGGAGCGCCCGAAGCUUUGUGAUACGCUUUCUAAGAGUCGAGUUGUUUGGGAAUGCAGCUCAAAAUGGGUGGUAAAUGCCAUCUAAGGCUAAAUAUUGGGGAGAGACCGAUAGCGAACAAGUACAGUGAUGGAAAGAUGAAAAGAACUUUGAAAAGAGAGUUAAACAGUACGUGAAAUUGCCAAAAGGGAAGGGUAGGAGGUCAGAGAUGCGGCCUAGGAUUCAGCCUUGCUUUUGCUUGGUGUUUUUCCUAGGUUGCAGGCCAACGUCGGUUUUGGGCACUGGAGAAGGGUGGAAGGAAUGUGGCACCUCUCGGGGUGUGUUAUAGCCUUCUACUGGAUACAGCGACCGAGACCGAGGACAGCAGCGUACUCGCAAGAGCGGGCCUUCGGGCACCUUUACGCUUAGGGCGUUGGCAUAAUGGCCCUCUACCACCCGUCUUA